Molecule: long non-coding RNA, 482 nt
Filed under: Oncorhynchus kisutch (coho salmon)
Lineage: Eukaryota; Metazoa; Chordata; Actinopteri; Salmoniformes; Salmonidae
Description: lncRNA (ENSOKIG00005007961.1)
Source: RNAcentral
UUUUUAUUAAGUUGAAUGUGCUCUUUGACAGAAUAUUAAAAUGAGGUGAAAUAAAAAUUCACUAAAUUGACUGCUCAAAAGGCACCUAAUUGGUGGAAUGAUACUUGUAAGUGUUUGGAGACUAAAAGAAGAGCUGAUGUCAUUGAUGUAAACCUAUGUGUUGGACUUUUACAGACCAAGAAGGCCAGACAUGAGCUGGACGUUGGACUGAACCAAGAGCCAAGGGGACUACGUGAUGACCAGAUCCCUCCUACUCUCUUCGGCUCAGGAGAUCAGGACAAUUCAUACUCUACGUUGUCUAAUGCCCAGCUUGAUGGAGCGGUGGCCAGCAGAGCGCUCACCACAACAACAGCCUCUGAAUAUAACUCCCACAUCUACCAAGGAAGCAGGUAAAUAUCCUCUGUUGUGAUUGGUUAUUCAGUGUUUCCUGGUCCUGCGGAGCCAAAUGGGUGCACAAGUUUUGUAAUAUCACUAACACGCCU